GAGCAGUUCUGUCUCCUGCUCUAGCUUGAGCAGCUUCAGAUAAAGUUCUGGUAUCUGGUUUGAUGCUGCCUACCAGAAAACAUGUCAGUUUCGUCUUUUGUUGUAUCAUCUGCAUAUCCUUUGAGACUGGCAAUGUUUGCUACCAUGGGAAAAUCAAAUGGGAUGGGAGUGUGUGUAUGGUGAGCAGAGUUUAAGCCCCUCAGGGUACACAGGAGUAAAUAAAGAAAACGUUUGUUAAGGGGGAAGGAACGUCAAGCAGCCGUCAUCAGAGAUUUUCUAGCCACCUGGGAUGCCCACUUUAGUGUCCUAUGUACACACUUGGCUUAUAUCCUUCACAGUGGAAAUUUUCUUGGUGUCUACCAGGAUGUGGCCUUCACCUGUGACCCUGAGGCCCAGCUGAGAGCAGCUCAGCUCGGUGCAGCCUUCUGUAAUGGGGAGAGACACCGUCAAAGAAAGAAACAUCCCAGUCGCCCAGCUCCAGUGUCAGUUGACGCCAAGGCACCGGACAAUGUGAAUCUGAAAAUCCAUCCUCUUGCCCAGCAGCUCCAAAGGGUCGAUAACCACAUCCUCCUCGCCAUGCGUUCUACAAACAGAAGAGCUUCAUGCAGUAGGCCAGCGACUGGAGCCAGAUGUGAGCUGAGCCCAAACAGACGACCUCGACAGGAUCCCAGAAAGGGUCGUCUUCUCGAGCCACAGGGCCGUGAUCUCCAUCUAGAAAGCGCUGGUAAAGUUCCUGCAUUAGGAAUUUCCUAUUGAUGAACUUGGCUUUUGACCAUAUCCACACCUGGAAACACAGAGGUAGGUCACCAUCAUUUGAUUCAUCUGCUGCUCUCACGAUUCAUCACUCUGAUUUUCCCAGCACGCUCCCUUCA
RNAcentral lists this long non-coding RNA (872 nucleotides) under Pan troglodytes (chimpanzee). RNAcentral describes it as "long non-coding RNA NONPTRT000754". Lineage: Eukaryota; Metazoa; Chordata; Mammalia; Primates; Hominidae. The record is from RNAcentral.